This 901-nucleotide ribosomal RNA is filed under the name uncultured Chloroflexota bacterium. RNAcentral's name for it is "bacterial SSU rRNA". It matches the Rfam family "Bacterial small subunit ribosomal RNA", at positions 8 to 916 of the family's 1533-position model. The record is from RNAcentral. Lineage: Bacteria; Bacillati; Chloroflexota.
AGAGUUUGAUCCUGGCUCAGGAUGAACGCUGGCGGCGUGCUUAAUACAUGCAAGUCGAACGAGGUGCUUUUGUAGCAAUACGGAAGUAUCCUAGUGGCGAACGGGUGAGUAACGCGUUGGUGACCUGCCCCGAAGUGUGGGAUAACAGUCCGAAAGGAUUGCUAAUACCGCAUGUGGUCCCCGGGUUUAGAAACCGGUGACUAAAGCAGUAAUGCGCUUUGGGAGGGACCUGCGUCCCAUCAGCUAGUUGGUGAGGUAACGGCUCACCAAGGCGUCGACGGGUAGGGGACCUGAGAGGGUGAUCCCCCACAAUGGCACUGAAACACGGGCCAUACACCUACGGGUGGCAGCAGUAGGGAAUAUUGGGCAAUGGGCGAAAGCCUGACCCAGCAACGCCGCGUGUACGAUGAAGGUCUUCGGAUCGUAAAGUACUUUUCUGGGAGAUGAGAAAGGACAGUAUCCCAGGAAUAAGCUUCGGCUAACUACGUGCCAGCAGCCGCGGUAAAACGUAGGAAGCGAGCGUUAUCCGGAUUUACUGGGCGUAAAGCGCGUGUAGGCGGUUUGGUAAGUUGGAUGUGAAAUCUCUCGGCUCAACUGGGAGAGGUCGUUCAAAACUACCAGACUAGAGGACAGUAGAGGAAGGUGGAAUUCCCGGUGUAGUGGUGAAAUGCGUAGAUAUCGGGAGGAACACCAGUGGCGAAAGCGGCCUUCUGGACUGUAUCUGACGCUCAGACGCGAAAGCUAGGGGAGCGAACGGGAUUAGCGACCCCGGUAGUCCUAGCUGUAAACGAUGUAGACUUGGCGUCAGUGGGUUCAAAGCCAUCGGUGCCGUAGCUAACGCGAUAGUCUACCCGCUCUGGGGACUACCGCUCGCAAGGACAAACUCAAGGUGAAUACUCGG